GAUGAAGAACGUAGCAAAAUGCGAUAAGUAAUGUGAAUUGCAGAAUUCAGUGAAUCAUCGAAUCUUUGAACGCACAUUGCGCCCUCUGGUAUUCCGGAGGGCAUGCCUGUUCGAGCGUCAUUUCGACCCUCAAGCAUUGCUUGGUGUUGGGGCACCGCCUGUAAAAGGGCGGGCCCUGAAAUCUAGUGGCGAGCUCGCCAGGACCCCGAGCGUAGUAAUUAUAUUUCGUUCUGGAAGGCCCUGGCGGUGCCCUGCCGUUAAACCCCCAACUUCUGAAAAUUUGACCUCGGAUCAGGUAGGAAUACCCGCUGAACUUAAGCAUAUCAAUAAGCGGAGGA
This 338-nucleotide unclassified non-coding RNA is filed under the name soil metagenome. RNAcentral's name for it is "partial contains 5.8S ribosomal RNA, internal transcribed spacer 2, and large subunit ribosomal RNA". The stretch from base 1 to 120 matches the Rfam family "5.8S ribosomal RNA", at positions 35 to 154 of the family's 154-position model. The record is from RNAcentral.